RNAcentral lists this ribosomal RNA (448 nucleotides) under uncultured bacterium. Its description in RNAcentral is "bacterial SSU rRNA". It matches the Rfam family "Bacterial small subunit ribosomal RNA", at positions 355 to 796 of the family's 1533-position model. The record is from RNAcentral.
UCGAGAAUUUUUCACAAUGGGCGCAAGCCUGAUGGAGCGACGCCGCGUGGGGGAUGAAUGGCUUCGGCCCGUAAACCCCUGUCAUUUGCGAUCAAACGUUAUUAUUUAAAAGAUGAUGACCUGAUAGUAGCGAAAGAGGAAGGGACGGCUAACUCUGUGCCAGCAGCCGCGGUAAUACAGAGGUCCCAAGCGUUGUUCGGAUUCACUGGGCGUAAAGGGUGCGUAGGUGGUGAGGUAAGUCGGAUGUGAAAUCUCGGAGCUCAACUCCGAAAUGGCAUUGGAAACUACCUUGCUCGAGGGUUGGAGGGGGGACUGGAAUGCUUGGUGUAGCAGUGAAAUGCGUAGAUAUCAAGCGGAACACCAGUGGCGAAGGCGAGUCCCUGGACAACUCCUGACACUGAGGCACGAAAGCUAGGGGAGCAAACAGGAUUAGAUACCCGGGUAGUCC